Molecule: ribosomal RNA, 321 nt
Filed under: uncultured bacterium
Lineage: Bacteria
Description: bacterial SSU rRNA
Rfam family: Bacterial small subunit ribosomal RNA
Source: RNAcentral
UACAGAAGAAGCACCGGCUAACUCCGUGCCAGCAGCCGCGGAAUACGGAGGGUGCGAGCGUUAAUCGGAAUUACUGGGCGUAAAGCGCAUGCAGGCGGCCUCGUUAAGUCAGAUGUGAAAGCCCGGGGCGUUAACCUCGGAAUUGCAUUUGAAACUGGCAGGCUAGAGUCUUGUAGAGGGGGGUAGGAAGUUUCAGGUUGGUUAAGCGGUGAAAUGCGUAGAGAUCUGAAGGAAUACCAGUGGCGAAGGCGGCCCCCUGGACAAAGACUGACGCUCAGAUGCGAAAGCGUGGGGAGCAAACAGGAUUAGAUACCCUGGUAG